GUCAAGUACAGAGAAAUAAUACAAAUACUGGCUGGUGAUGUUGUUUGGAUACUCAGACUGUAACGGACCCAAGCUACUGGAUACAGGUGAAUCGGUUAGAGCAUGGAGACGGAGGCAUUUUGGACCUGGAUGACGUGCUGUGUGAUGUAGCCGAUGACAAAGACCGGCUGGUGGCGGUGUAUGAGGAGCAGGACCCCCAUCAUGGCGGUGACGGCACCAGCGCGAGCUCCACAGGCACCCAGAGUCCAGAGCUCUUCAGCACGGGUGAGCUCAACUCCAGCACCCUGUCGGCCUUCCAGCCCUACCAGACCAGCAGUGAGAUCGAGGUCACCCCAUCGACCCUCAGGACCAGUGAGUGACCAUCUCAUUCAAACUCUAACACUGUGUCCUAACCAGACGCAACCUGACAAGUCUCCAUCAGCAAAUACCC
Molecule: long non-coding RNA, 430 nt
Filed under: Sinocyclocheilus grahami
Lineage: Eukaryota; Metazoa; Chordata; Actinopteri; Cypriniformes; Cyprinidae
Description: lncRNA (ENSSGRG00000012325.1)
Source: RNAcentral